Molecule: unclassified non-coding RNA, 480 nt
Filed under: Hevea brasiliensis (rubber tree)
Lineage: Eukaryota; Viridiplantae; Streptophyta; Magnoliopsida; Malpighiales; Euphorbiaceae
Source: RNAcentral
CCCUCAUAAUUGCCUUUUCCUGAGUUCCUAUUUUGCUUUCUAAUAAUCAGAUUGCUACCUUUUCUUGAUUUUCUUUACUUCCUUGAAGUUCUUCAUGUGUGGGCUUUGAUUCCAAGGGUUUGUGUAGGUGUCACAAGAUGCCAAAGAGCAUAGUGAUGAGUCAAGAAGCUGUUAGAAUGGAUGAAUUGGAGGAGAGAUUCCGAAUCUUGCAAGAAGGCACUAAUAAGAAGAUUGAACAGAAGAUUGAGCAAAAGAUUAAACAAAAAAUGGAGGAAAUGAAGAAAGUGUUACUCGAUGAGAUGAAAAACAUUAUUAAUGGAUUUUUCCUUGAAAAAGAGAAAGGAACUAUAAAUGAGUAAGUUGAAGGGAAUGUGGUGCAAGAAGGGCAAAUCUUGCCAAUACCUAAGGUGGUAGCAAAAGGAAAUCAAAAGGAGCAGGUAAGUGUAUCUUCUUUUAUGGGAAAUGAGGAGGCAUCAGGGC